UUGCAGCUUAUUAAGCCGACUGGUCUUGCUGUGGUGCAUUUCUGGUGUGCAAAGGCUGCAGACAUUAAAUCUUUGUGUGUGUAUAUACCAUCAGCUGGGAAGUGCUGAGGUUGUAAAGAGAUCAUUGAGACAAAC
Syngnathus acus (greater pipefish) is the source of this 135-nucleotide small nucleolar RNA. RefSeq annotates it as small nucleolar RNA SNORA70. Lineage: Eukaryota; Metazoa; Chordata; Actinopteri; Syngnathiformes; Syngnathidae. The transcript has a single exon. The record is from RefSeq and is a predicted model, not a curated record.